UGGAAAAUAGUAUAUAAAGAAUAUCUCAUUUACACUGAGAAGGUGGCCAUGGGCCUUUUCCUU
This 63-nucleotide transfer RNA is filed under the name Solen strictus (Gould's razor shell). RNAcentral's name for it is "tRNA-Val". The record is from RNAcentral. Lineage: Eukaryota; Metazoa; Mollusca; Bivalvia; Adapedonta; Solenidae.